AAAUUGAAGAGUUUGAUCAUGGCUCAGAUUGAACGCUGGCGGCAGGCCUAACACAUGCAAGUCGAACGGUAACAGUAAGAAGCUUGCUUCUUUGCUGACGAGUGGCGGACGGGUGAGUAAUGUCUGGGAAACUGCCUGAUGGAGGGGGAUAACUACUGGAAACGGUAGCUAAUACCGCAUAACGUCGCAAGACCAAAGAGGGGGACCUUCGGGCCUCUUGCCAUCGGAUGUGCCCAGAUGGGAUUAGCUUGUUGGUGGGGUA
RNAcentral lists this ribosomal RNA (262 nucleotides) under Escherichia coli. RNAcentral describes it as "partial 16S ribosomal RNA". It matches the Rfam family "Bacterial small subunit ribosomal RNA", at positions 1 to 259 of the family's 1533-position model. The record is from RNAcentral. Lineage: Bacteria; Pseudomonadati; Pseudomonadota; Gammaproteobacteria; Enterobacterales; Enterobacteriaceae.